Molecule: long non-coding RNA, 355 nt
Filed under: Arachis ipaensis
Lineage: Eukaryota; Viridiplantae; Streptophyta; Magnoliopsida; Fabales; Fabaceae
Description: long non-coding RNA (AIPA_LNC000736)
Source: RNAcentral
GUUCUCAUAUUUGAGGUUGACUAGGAAAGGCACCAUUCCAGCUUGCAGAUCCAAUGCAUGUGGCUUUACCCUGUAAAUUUGUGUCAUGUUAUAACAGCCAUGUGAUAUAUCAUUGUACUUUGUCCCUACUUUGAUCCCUUCAGUUCAUGUACCUGUUCCGUUGCUUUCAUGCGCAGAAAGAAAGCAAUGAAAAUACAUAUUUCGAAAUUUAUAUACCAAAUCCUAACCUCAGAUAACAUGUUCCCUUGAAUGCCUAAUAAACACUAAUCAGUGAUCUUGUACUUGUACCCUACUACCUUCUUAUUUCACCAAACAAUUUACAUUAGUAAAACAAAUGAUGCUAAGGAAUAUAACA